Molecule: ribosomal RNA, 576 nt
Filed under: Triticum aestivum (bread wheat)
Lineage: Eukaryota; Viridiplantae; Streptophyta; Magnoliopsida; Poales; Poaceae
Description: partial small subunit ribosomal RNA
Source: RNAcentral
UUUGAAAUAAGAUUAGUACCAAAAGCUGCCUCUGAUUUCAGAAUCCGAUUUGGAAAAUUGGCUAUGGAGAUUUUGUGCGGUCAGAGAUUCAUGCAGACACAAAGGGGCCCCUAUUUUCAAGCAGGAAAGUCGUUUCGAUCCAAUCCAUUCUUGCGGUCCGAAAAAGACACUGGAUAUGUCAGUGACUUUGCACGACAAAGCGUUCUCCGAGGGCAUGGAAUGUACCAUUUUUGGGUCAGAAUCUUUACAGUAAUGUCUAUGUUGGAUUCUCCGGUUGAAAUACGGGAAAACUCCAUCAAUUUUUUUAUGGAAAUGGUGCUUUGCGAAUUCUCCCCGGAACUGGAAGAUCAUUUUGAGAUCUUCGAGCAUAUUCGAGGGUUCAAUGUGAAUAUUGUCACUUCGGCCAAUACAAAAGAUGAGACUUUACUACUGUGGAGCGGCUUUUUGCUAAAAGAUGAGGGGGAAACUAACAUCUCGAGGUUCUUUGAUGGGCAUAAAGAAAUCGUCUUGGUAGCAACCACCAAACUAAUAGAAUCAAGGUUAGCUCUGCAGCUAGUCCACAAGCAAGGGUUGUAG